UCGUCAGUUGCUGCUUCGUUUCCAACAAGGCCUUUUAUGAGUGUUCGUGGUUUCUAUUUCAUAUCGGGACUAAUGAUUCGAUCGGCUGUAUCCAGUAGAUGGCGGAGAAUAAGCUGAUGUUUGCUGAAUUUUUUCUUUUGACGUACGAGAGCGCUUCCUGAAAUGGUAACGCGAUGCGGUGGUUGACUCGUUAACGCUACCGGUUGGUGAUUUGCGUUCUACUUACUUUUAAGAAACCAGCGAUUUCAAUCCUCCUACUCUGGACGAUCGGAAUGCUAACCCCUCCAGGUUUGAGUUCGGAGACUUGUAUUGACUUGAGGUAAGGCUUCUCCCCCUUUGGACGAUCGGAAUGCUAACCCCUCCAGGUUUGAGUUCGGAGACUUUUAUUGACUUGAGGUAAGGCUUCUCCCCCUUUGGACGAUCGGAAUGCUAAACUCCUCCAGGUUUGAAUUCGGAAACUGUUGUAAUGACUUAAGGUGAGCUUUCUAAGCUUUGCAUUGACCAAAAUAGGCUUUUUAAGCAGAGGUAAAGUUUUCGUAUUGACUAACCACUCGACCAUUUUUUCCCUCCACCCCUGUAGGGGCGGGUGCCCCUGUAGGGGUGGAGGGCCCUCUCUUGCCUGUCCCGUAGGUCUUCGGACCUACGGGGAGGUUCAUGGGAGGGUUUUUUUUCAGGUUGUAAGAGUCUAGAUUAAAAAAAAAUAUAUAUAUAAAAAAUGGGUCUAAAAUAUUUAAAUACAAGGUAGCUUUUAAGAAAUUUAACUUAUUUAGUAUUAUCUAUUUUGCUUGCCUAAGACAUAAAUGUUGAGUUUCACAGGUAAUUUUGUCUAGCUUUAUUACAUCUAAAUUCAAAACUAGUUUUUAGGUUUGGGUACUAGUAUAUUCAAAAGUAAAUUGUUUGGUUAAUUGUAAGAAAUUAUAAUUUAUAAACAAUUUUAAUUUAGAAUUAACCUCCUGUAUAUAAUUUAAUAUAUCCAAAGCUUCUUACUUGGACUGUCUUUACUUUGAAUUUUCAUUAUAACGUGAAAUAAUUCUUUGCAGACAUACCUUUGUUUAAUACGCACCACGAAUAUAAAGGGUAAUCUUAAGAUGGUUUUUUUAGAUGGUAUGCACACAUACUUAGUUUGCUGUUUUUUGCCAACUAAGUCAAAUCCAGUGAUGUCUUGGCCUUGGCUUAGUAUACCUUGUCAACAUACUCUGGCUCUUGGCGACUUUACGUACUUGGUUGCUUUUGUUAGAUGAGAGGUAUUCAAGAAUAUGCUAAUGGAAUGAAACUUCUGUUCAAGAACUGUGUGAAAGAACUGUAAAUUUCUCUCGUUGUUCAAUAGAUUUUGAACGAGGUAAUUAAACCUGGAGUUAUUGACCUUCAUCUUGUACAUAAUUUCUGUUGUAUCUAAACUGGAUUGUCAUCACCUCUGCUUUCAAGCUGACAUUGUUUUUGGUUUUAAGGUAUUACUUUUGUAGCCAAUAAGGAUAUAACAUCCAAUAAAAUGCUAAAUUUGUUUGAAUUUAGUCGCUUUAUAUAAAUUCUAAAAAAAUAUUAUAGUCUACUGGUGAUUUGCCUGGAUCAAGGUUUUAGUCCUAUAAUAUUUGUGAUUUCGGGGGACAGUUUUCAAAAUGAGCUCUAAAAGCCACUGAAUAUGCAUAAUUAGUUGGUAAUGAUGAAUUUAUAUUAUAUUAUGAUCGAUUUUUAUUUCUAAAUGUUUUCUGAAACUGCAAUGAUAUUUUAAAAUUAUGAAGAAUUUCAUAAUUUAGUUUUCCUGAAUAAAAGUAA
Macrobrachium nipponense is the source of this 1773-nucleotide long non-coding RNA. RefSeq lists it as uncharacterized. The transcript has 3 exons. Lineage: Eukaryota; Metazoa; Arthropoda; Malacostraca; Decapoda; Palaemonidae. The record is from RefSeq and is a predicted model, not a curated record.